This 454-nucleotide ribosomal RNA is filed under the name uncultured bacterium. RNAcentral describes it as "bacterial SSU rRNA". It matches the Rfam family "Bacterial small subunit ribosomal RNA", at positions 547 to 1004 of the family's 1533-position model. The record is from RNAcentral.
GGAAUUAUUGGGCGUAAAGCGCGCGCAGGCGGAUUGGUCAGUCUGUCUUAAAAGUUCGGGGCUUAACCCCGUGAUGGGAUGGAAACUGCCAAUCUAGAGUAUCGGAGAGGAAAGCGGAAUUCCUAGUGUAGCGGUGAAAUGCGUAGAUAUUAGGAAGAACACCAGUGGCGAAGGCGACUUUCUGGACGAAAACUGACGCUGAGGCGCGAAAGCCAGGGGAGCGAACAGGAUUAGAUACCCUGGUAGUCCGCACAGUAAACGAUGGAUGCCCGCUGUUAGCGCCUGGCGUUAGCGGCUAAGCGAAAGCAUUAAGCAUCCCACCUGGGGAGUACGCCGGCAACGGUGAAACUCAAAGGAAUUGACGGGGGCCCGCACAAGCGGAGGAACAUGUGGUUUAAUUCGAUGAUACGCGAGGAACCUUACCCGGGCUUGAAUUGCAGAGGAAUUAUUUAGA